Molecule: ribosomal RNA, 313 nt
Filed under: uncultured eukaryote
Lineage: Eukaryota
Description: partial 18S ribosomal RNA
Rfam family: Eukaryotic small subunit ribosomal RNA
Source: RNAcentral
CCCUUAGAUGUUCUGGGCUGCACGCGCGCUACACUGAUACUUUCAGCGAGUCCACCACCUUGCCUGGGAGGGUGGGGUAACCUCUGGAAAGUGCAUCGUGAUGGGGAUCGAUUAUUGUAAUUAUUAAUCUUCAACGAGGAAUUCCUAGUAAGUAUGUGUCAUCAUCACGCACUGAUUACGUCCCUGCCCUUUGUACACACCGCCCGUCGCUCCUACCGAUUGGGUGAGCCGAUGAAACUCUCGGAUGUAGGCUAUUCAUAGCCCGCAGAAGAGAUUUGAAUCGUAGCGCUUAGAGGAAGGAGAAGUCGUAACA